RNAcentral lists this ribosomal RNA (263 nucleotides) under uncultured bacterium. RNAcentral's name for it is "partial 16S ribosomal RNA". It matches the Rfam family "Bacterial small subunit ribosomal RNA", at positions 97 to 354 of the family's 1533-position model. The record is from RNAcentral.
UGCGAACGGGUGAGUAACACGUGGGCAACCUGCCCAAAAGAGGGGGAUAACACUUGGAAACAGGUGCUAAUACCGCAUAACCAUAGUUACCGCAUGGUAACUAUGUAAAAGGUGGCUAUGCUACCGCUUUUGGAUGGGCCCGCGGCGCAUUAGCUAGUUGGUGGGGUAAAGGCUUACCAAGGCAAUGAUGCGUAGCCGAACUGAGAGGUUGAUCGGCCACAUUGGGACUGAGACACGGCCCAAACUCCUACGGAAGGCAGCAG